GUGCCAGCAGCCGCGGUAAGACGAACCGAGCGAACGUUGUUCGGAAUCACUGGGCUUAAAGGGCGCGUAGGCGGGUGCGUUUGUCCGGGGUGAAAGCCCCCCGCUCAACGGGGGAAGGGCCCCGGAGACGGCGCACCUCGAGGGGGGUAGGGGCGUGCGGAACGCCCGGUGGAGCGGUGAAAUGCGUUGAUAUCGGGCGGAACUCCGGCGGCGAAAGCGGCGCGCUGGACCCCUUCUGACGCUGAGGCGCGAAAGCCAGGGGAGCGAACGGGAUUAGAUACCCCGGUAGUCC
RNAcentral lists this ribosomal RNA (292 nucleotides) under uncultured bacterium. RNAcentral describes it as "partial 16S ribosomal RNA". It matches the Rfam family "Bacterial small subunit ribosomal RNA", at positions 505 to 796 of the family's 1533-position model. The record is from RNAcentral.